Armigeres subalbatus is the source of this 600-nucleotide long non-coding RNA. RefSeq lists it as uncharacterized. NCBI's taxonomy places the organism in Eukaryota, Metazoa, Arthropoda, Insecta, Diptera, Culicidae. The transcript has 4 exons. The record is from RefSeq and is a predicted model, not a curated record.
UUUGCCUUCUUAAUUUGAAAAGCGUUCGAUUUUCUUAAAAUUAAAAGUAGAUUUGAUUCAAGCAAAAGUUAUGUUUUAACUUCGAAAGUGUUUUCAGUUUAUUCAGAGUGUUUUGCCUUUGUCAUUUUUUGCCGCAAUUAUCUGCUGAGUGCUGACGAGCCGGGAAAACAAAAAUCGUGCCAAUCACCUUGUGAUAAAUAAUUAAAAUUAGUUUGUGUCACAAACUCUUCGAAUGGAAUUUACUCGCUGGCGCUUUCAUCGAUUUCUAAUACAGAACCUAUACGAUCCUCCAUCGAUGGAUGCAAAAAAACGCCCCUCCAGGUACGCGUCUCAUGGCGGGAUGGUUCCGCAGGAGAUGAUUUAUUUCCGGGCUGGCACAGUUCCUCGAAAUCGAAAGAUAACCUGGCAUUCCUAAUAACGGCGAAAACAAAUGGCGCGAUAUUUGGAUGGCUGCGAUGCGAAUCCUAAAAAUGAAUGAAACAUGUUCACCCUAUUAAAUCCGGUUUUGGAAGCUCGGAUAAAGCAAUGUUGAAACGACUCCUUGAUGGGAUGUUUUUUCACGUUUGUGUUUGUUGUCCAUAAAUAAUAAAAUUUUGAAAU